UGUUUUCCUCAGGACUGAGCGGGCGGCGCCAUGGAGGCUCCAGGACAGGGCUGCCUGCGUGUCCGCGGGAGGAGGACGCUCCCCGCCCGCUGUCUGAAGUUACGCCGGUUUCCCACUGCCUGCGCCGGCUUCCUGCCGGGGUGUGUGUGGACCUGACCGAGCUGGGGCCCCGGCCGGCUGGGCAGGAGGGGACUGGUGCCCUGGCGGGCCCGCUUCGACUAUUCUCCUCGCCCGCAGGGAGCGGAUUGAAUCUGACUGAGACAUAACUUCGAUGAGAUCACACUGCUAUUAAACAUCAGUAUUGAAAAUCAAAUAUUUCAUACUAUUUGUCAAUCUUGAAAGAAAGAGUAUUUCCAAAAAAAAAAAAAAAGAGGAGUUGUUAAGCUGCCCCAGAUACAUAUGCACUGGCUUGAGGACCAGCAUAUUGAAGGAACUUGAAAAUGGAAGACCACCUCCACCCUACUGCCCUCUUCAACAGAAAAGCAAUCGGGACUGGUUCCUGACAUUGUGCCCUGUGGAGCUGUCAUUACAGCUUAAUCACUCCACUCACCAGAGAACUCGACAUAUCACAUCACACGUCUUAAGACUAUUUAGGAUGAUGGCACACAUUCCAAGCCGACUUUAUGAUUUCCUUUUUGGUGAUCUCCUCCUGUUGAAAAGUAAAAUGUCCUCCCAAAGGUUGUUUUCUGACGUUGGUUAUUUUAAGUGUCCCCUAUCAGAUUGCCAUUCUCCCCUCUCUUUUCUCAUGUUCUCCUCUGAAUGGAUAUCCAUCCCUUUGUCAUCAUUUUGUCUAGUUUUCUGAUAUCCUAACCAUUCUCUUAAUUUCCAGUUCCACCUCCUGUAUACAAGGAACAUUAUUCUGGAAGACACUUCCCUGAAACCUGAGUUUCAACAGAAACUUGGGGGCAAGGGUUCUGCCCAUACAGUGAGAACAAGCAAUUAUAACCUUAAGAGAGUAUGGGAAUUCUGAUGUCACUACUCCGUGAUUCUUUAUUUUCAGUCAAUAAAUAACAUGUACCUCUGAUGAUGGCUGUAUGGUCAGGCAACUCAAGAUGGCUUCUCUCUAUACAUCUCCUGCUUGACUGGUGCCUGCUUCACCUACACACAACUCAUAAGACUGAUCUUCCUUCAUAUUCACCCCAGGCCCCAGCUAAUGACUGUUCUAGAUUUAGAUCAGAACUCACCACUAUGCUUAUCCAAGGGGUGGUGAGAGGCAUGACCCUGUGCUGAUUACCCACAUAACCAAUGAGCCAACCUGACAUCAACUCCCCUAUGACUGGUAACCUCUUCUUCCCCACCAGGAGCAAAGACUGCCAUCAUGUCCUGCCCUCCAGCUCCCACACAUGGCAGGAUGUUGCUCCAGGACUUUGCUUCAGAUGUGUAAGAUCACCCUAAUCAUUAAACUAUUGAUUAUCUCUGUUGCUGACUCUGGGAUCUUUCUCAGGUCUUGAAGCUGGGCAAGUACAGGGCUUGUAGACCUGCAGGGUGCAGUCCAGUGCUGACAUAGCUAAUUAAUACCCUCACAUAAAACACUUCAUUUAUAUAAACAUAAUGUAACUAGUAGCCAAAUUGGGUUCAAAAGAAUGGAAAUACAUGGAGAUCAGAAGCAACCUUAGCUCUAGGGUCCUCAGAAAGCCCAGAUUCAGUGGGAUAUCAUGGUACAGCACAAGGCUUGUGGGGAAAAAUGAAUAGCAGGCACAGCUUUGCCCAUCUCUUAUCUAAUUCUCAAUAGUUCCUUCUGCUAUUGGACCAACCUGGGAUGUGUCUAUGUCCAUUCAAAUACUAUCCCUUUCUGAAACUCUUAUGAAAAUUUCAGUGCACAUCAUGUUAAUUAUGAUGUUUCACUCAUGAUGCCACUUAAACUUAUCAUCAUCUUGCAUUGUUUCAAAAUAUUGAAUGUAUGUAAUUACUCUAAUUAUUUAUGUUGCCUUAUUUUAGUUGUGAUGGUUAUAUAUUUUUCCAGGUUUAUUUUCUUCUCUUGUAAAACUGUCUGCUCAAGCAAAGUAGAUCUACCCAAUGUUUCACAAUGAUACCCUGUACAUUUUGCCUUCCCAAAAUGUUACUUUAAAUAUUCUAUUUGAAGAGUUUUCUCUCUCUUCUCACUCUGUGUGAAUAGUGUUCAUCCUUCAAAAACCAGUCAAUGCCAGUGACUUCAAAAGGGUCAUUCCUCUCACAAAAGUGUAUCUGACCUUGUGAGUAUGCUUUUUCUCAGAAAAAAAAAUCA
Molecule: long non-coding RNA, 2224 nt
Organism: Camelus dromedarius (Arabian camel)
Lineage: Eukaryota; Metazoa; Chordata; Mammalia; Artiodactyla; Camelidae
Exons: 3
Source: RefSeq, a predicted model, not a curated record